UCGAGAAUCUUCGGCAAUGGGCGAAAGCCUGACCGAGCGAUGCCGCGUGCGGGAUGAAGGCCUUCGGGUUGUAAACCGCGAAAGUAAGGAGGAAGGCUCCGUGAAGAGCGGAGUUUGACCAAUUUACAGUAAGGACGGGCUAAGUUCGUGCCAGCAGCCGCGGUAACACGAACCGUCCAAACGUUAUUCGGAAUUAUUGGGCUUAAAGGGUGCGUAGGCGGCGUGUUAAGUCGGGUGUGAAAUCCCACAGCUCAACUGUGGAACUGCGCCCGAUACUGGCAUGCUUGAGGGAGACAGAGGUAAGCGGAACUGAUGGUGGAGCGGUGAAAUGCGUUGAUAUCAUCAGGAACACCGGUGGCGAAAGCGGCUUACUGGGUCUCUUCUGACGCUGAGGCACGAAAGCUAGGGUAGCGAACGGGAUUAGAUACCCCUGUAGUCC
This 439-nucleotide ribosomal RNA is filed under the name uncultured prokaryote. RNAcentral's name for it is "bacterial SSU rRNA". It matches the Rfam family "Bacterial small subunit ribosomal RNA", at positions 355 to 796 of the family's 1533-position model. The record is from RNAcentral.